This 490-nucleotide ribosomal RNA is filed under the name uncultured bacterium. Its description in RNAcentral is "partial 16S ribosomal RNA". It matches the Rfam family "Bacterial small subunit ribosomal RNA", at positions 30 to 507 of the family's 1533-position model. The record is from RNAcentral.
AUUGAACGCUGGCGGCAGGCUUAACACAUGCAAGUCGAGCGGUAGCACAGGGGAGCUUGCUCCCUGGGUGACGAGCGGCGGACGGGUGAGUAAUGUCUGGGAACCUGCCUGAUGGAGGGGGAUAACUACUGGAAACGGUAGCUAAUACCGCAUAACGUCGCAAGACCAAAGAGGGGGACCUUCGGGCCUCUUGCCAUCAGAUGUGCCCAGAUGGGAUUAGCUAGUAGGUGGGGUAAUGGCUCACCUAGGCGACGAUCCCUAGCUGGUCUGAGAGGAUGACCAGCCACACUGGAACUGAGACACGGUCCAGACUCCUACGGGAGGCAGCAGUGGGGAAUAUUGCACAAUGGGCGCAAGCCUGAUGCAGCCAUGCCGCGUGUGUGAAGAAGGCCUUCGGGUUGUAAAGCACUUUCAGCGAGGAGGAAGGUGGUGAGCUUAAUACGUUCAUCAAUUGACGUUACUCGCAGAAGAAGCACCGGCUAACUCCGUG